AAUGGGUCAGCGACUUAUAUUCUGUAGCAAGGUUAACCGAAUAGGGGAGCCGAAGGGAAACCGAGUCUUAACUGGGCGUUAAGUUGCAGGGUAUAGACCCGAAACCCGGUGAUCUAGCCAUGGGCAGGUUGAAGGUUGGGUAACACUAACUGGAGGACCGAACCGACUAAUGUUGAAAAAUUAGCGGAUGACUUGUGGCUGGGGGUGAAAGGCCAAUCAAACCGGGAGAUAGCUGGUUCUCCCCGAAAGCUAUUUAGGUAGCGCCUCGUGAAUUCAUCUCCGGGGGUAGAGCACUGUUUCGGCAAGGGGGUCAUCCCGACUUACCAACCCGAUGCAAACUGCGAAUACCGGAGAAUGUUAUCACGGGAGACACACGGCGGGUGCUAACGUCCGUCGUGAAGAGGGAAACAACCCAGACCGCCAGCUAAGGUCCCAAAGUCAUGGUUAAGUGGGAAACGAUGUGGGAAGGCCCAGACAGCCAGGAUGUUGGCUUAGAAGCAGCCAUCAUUUAAAGAAAGCGUAAUAGCUCACUGGUCGAGUCGGCCUGCGCGGAAGAUGUAACGGGGCUAAACCAUGCACCGAAGCUGCGGCAGCGACGCUUAUGCGUUGUUGGGUAGGGGAGCGUUCUGUAAGCCUGUGAAGGUGUGCUGUGAGGCAUGCUGGAGGUAUCAGAAGUGCGAAUGCUGACAUAAGUAACGAUAAAGCGGGUGAAAAGCCCGCUCGCCGGAAGACCAAGGGUUCCUGUCCAACGUUAAUCGGGGCAGGGUGAGUCGACCCCUAAGGCGAGGCCGAAAGGCGUAGUCGAUGGGAAACAGGUUAAUAUUCCUGUACUUGGUGUUACUGCGAAGGGGGGACGGAGAAGGCUAUGUUGGCCGGGCGACGGUUGUCCCGGUUUAAGCGUGUAGGCUGGUUUUCCAGGCAAAUCCGGAAAAUCAAGGCUGAGGCGUGAUGACGAGGCACUACGGUGCUGAAGCAACAAAUGCCCUGCUUCCAGGAAAAG
Molecule: ribosomal RNA, 1000 nt
Filed under: Escherichia coli
Lineage: Bacteria; Pseudomonadati; Pseudomonadota; Gammaproteobacteria; Enterobacterales; Enterobacteriaceae
Description: partial 23S ribosomal RNA
Rfam family: Bacterial large subunit ribosomal RNA
Source: RNAcentral